This 2285-nucleotide long non-coding RNA is filed under the name Apis mellifera (honey bee). RNAcentral describes it as "uncharacterized LOC113218884". Lineage: Eukaryota; Metazoa; Arthropoda; Insecta; Hymenoptera; Apidae. The record is from RNAcentral.
AUAUAAGAAAUAUAAUAAACUAUUAAAAAGUAGAUCUCAUACCAAAUUAUAAAUUUACUUUAAAAUACUUGUAAUGGACUUUGGCAUAAACGGAUCUACGAGAAUAAUCUCAUGAAAUUAUUCUAUCUCCACCGUAAUUCAAUUAUGAAUCCCCGCGCAAAAAUAAACUUUAAUCAUCCCGUUGGAGGGUAAGUGCAAUAUUUAGCAUGACACGGGUAGCAUUAAAAGCACGCGUGGGUGUUCGGCCGGACGUGCCAAAAGAGAAGGGGAUGCUGUGCGUAUAAUCCGACAACGGGGCGCCGCGUGACGUCACUGCUCGUCAAUAUUAUACCCUUGUCUCGUCGCCACUGAUGCUUCUGUUUUUCCAUUACGCACAAAAAAAAAAACAGCAACAGGUCGUUCGAUUCUUAUAUCGUAUCAAUCGACACAAUAUGGUAGAAAAAUAAUAUCAUUUGUUAUAUUAUUUAUAACUUUCUCCUCGUUUUUGGAAACCAUAAUUUAACAACACUAACGUUAAUUUUGACCGCGUUCGUGCGACACCGAAUUCGCCCCGGAUCUCGCGUUUUUUCGUUCUUGAAACAGGCACGUAACCGACACCGUUGCGAAAUCGAUCCCGGUCGAGAGCGACGAUAAUGACCAUAGGCGUCGAAAAGCGUAUUUCAUUUCUUCUGCGAAUAUUAAUUACGACCGAUCAACUCGGUUAAUAAUAAAGAAAAAUCACAAAAUAUAUUUUGUCCGUGAGGGCGUUAUGUAAAAAUCGUGUUUCUGUCUUGAAUAAUCCUUCUCUGCGCCUUUCGAGAAAUACGAGUUACGAUUGGAAAGUACGGUACUUUCGCGGGAAUCCGUGCGUCCAUUAAAUGGACGCUAUAACUUUGCGAACCGAAUAUACCGAAUAACCAUCGAAAUAUUUCCUUUUUCGAGCACAUUCAGGAGAAAAUGUUAAAAGCAGGAACUUUCGCGUGCCGAUUAAUUAAUCUCCCUUCAAGAAAAGACAAAGAAAGGUACUUGACUCUAAGAGACAAUAUGGUAGCACAGCCUGUCAAACGGUUUACCGGUAAUUUUACGACGAUGCCAGAGACCUGCGCAGAGAGAAGCGUGGAGAGAGAAAAAGCGAACCCGGUAGGAGUGGGGGAUCGGUGACAGCGUCACGAAACCGAGAGAGAUCCUUUGUCGACGCGCGUUGCGAGGUUACGUUUAUUUCAGUCUAUUCGUCGCUAUUUCUAGCAAGCACCAGAUCGAAUAUGCUUUUUCGUUCUGCCUGCGGGUAUAUAUAUAUAUAUAUAUGUAUACAUGAACAUACCAUCUUUCCCUUCCUCUUUCUCUUUAUAUUGUUUUUCUUUCCAAUUCUUUCUCCCUUUUUCUUUCAUAAUAUGAUCGCGUUAUCGUCUUUCUUUGUGCGAGAAUGAUUCUCUCUUCGUCGGCUCGCUGCACAAAAAUACAGGCAAAGAGAAAAGGUAGAGGAGGGCGAGUGCACGUGCAGUGGAGGAUCAGCUGUGUCGACCAACGUAUAAAUAAUUUUCUCGGCCCACUUCCACACACCGUGGUGCAGCGCAAAGGCUAUGUUAACCACGGCGUUUACGUCGGGUAUCCUGUAAUGAUGUAGCGAGACACUUCGUGAAACGCGCGUAUAUGAUGCUCGUUAUUUAAUGCUCUGUCAAAGCGUAAUUUCAACGCUUCUCAUCCCUCUAACCAUUCUUUUUUAUCCCUCAGUUUUUUCGCGGACUAAUGGAUAUACCGGAGUAAUUGCAAAUGGUAUACUGACUGAAGGGGAGAAAGAAGAGACGACAAAAGUGUAAAUGGCUGGCGACAUUUUAUAAGCAGAAAUAAUCUUACGAAUUGUGAGAUGAAGUGAUUGAAAUGAAAUAAUAAUUGCAUAUUAAUUACACAUGUGUAAAGAAGUGGAAGAAUGUUGAAGAAUUAGUAAAAAACAUGAGAAAAGAAAGCCAAGUGGCAAUGAGAUUUCUCAUGGCUAAAUAAGGAUAGAAUCAAGGCGUAUGCUAUCGAGAAUUCGGAAAUCGGUGGAAUGUCACUCAUGAUCAAGUGUCACACGAGGCAACGUAUCGUUUGUAAACAAGCCAGAAAACAUGACAGACAACUAGAAAUCAGAAAACUUGGAAGUGUACCUCUAUUAAGACGUUUCGCUGGAACAUUUCUUUACUAUUUUCAUUUUUAAUUUUAUUUUCAACCAUGGAUUAAAGAAUUGAAGAUUUGAUUUCAUUCUAAGAAUUUUUAAAUACAUUAAAUGUAUUAAAGGAUAAAUAAAUUAAUCAUCUGUAAACUAAAAA